GAUACGCGAAGAACCGUUACCAGGUCUUGACAGUCCCCGCGAUGCUUUAAGAGAUAAAGCGGAGGUAUUCGGGAGACAGGUGGUGCAUGGUUGUCGUCAGCUCGUGUCGUGAGAUGUUGGGUUAAGUCCCGCAACGAGCGCAACCCUAUUGCUAGUUACCAUCAUUAAGUUGGGACUCUAGCGAGACUGGCCAGUGAUAAACUGGAGGAAGGUGGGGAGUGACGUCAAAUCAUCAUGCCCCUUAUGACCUGGGCUACAAACGUGAUACAAUGGCUGGAACAAAGGGAUGCGAAGCAGUGAUGUGGAGCGAAACCCAUAAAAACAGUCUCAGUUCGGAUUGAAGUCUGCAACUCGACUUCAUGAAGUCGGAAUCGCUAGUAAUCGCGGAUCAGAACGCCGCGGUGAAUACGUUCUCGGGUUU
RNAcentral lists this ribosomal RNA (421 nucleotides) under uncultured Acholeplasma sp. RNAcentral describes it as "bacterial SSU rRNA". It matches the Rfam family "Bacterial small subunit ribosomal RNA", at positions 956 to 1381 of the family's 1533-position model. Lineage: Bacteria; Bacillati; Mycoplasmatota; Mollicutes; Acholeplasmatales; Acholeplasmataceae. The record is from RNAcentral.